GUGAGUCAUCGAAUCUUUGAACGCACCUUGCGCCCCUUGGCAUUCCGAGGGGCACACCCGUUUGAGUGUCGUGAAAUUCUCAAAAACCCUUCCUUUGGUGGAAAGGAUUUUGGACUUGGAGGCCUUUUGCUGGUUUCACCUUGAAGCGAGCUCCUCCCAAAUGGAUUAGUGGGGUCUGCUUUGCCGGUCCUAGACGUGAUAAGAUGUUUCUACGUCUUGGGUUUCUGCACUGUACCUCUGCUUCUAACCGUCUCAUUGACAAUGAUGGUGUUCCGGUCACCGCCGAUUUAUCGGUUGGGAGGCUUGACCCACAAAACGACCUUGACCUCAAAUCGGGUGAGA
RNAcentral lists this ribosomal RNA (342 nucleotides) under Russula aquosa. RNAcentral describes it as "eukaryotic LSU rRNA". The stretch from base 1 to 71 matches the Rfam family "5.8S ribosomal RNA", at positions 84 to 154 of the family's 154-position model. Lineage: Eukaryota; Fungi; Basidiomycota; Agaricomycetes; Russulales; Russulaceae. The record is from RNAcentral.